This is a long non-coding RNA of Gasterosteus aculeatus aculeatus (three-spined stickleback), 2109 nucleotides long. The record is from Ensembl. NCBI's taxonomy places the organism in Eukaryota, Metazoa, Chordata, Actinopteri, Perciformes, Gasterosteidae.
GUUUUACCUGUUGUAAAAACGUGCUCCGACAUGUCACACACACCUGGAGGGAGGGGGGGGGGCAUUAACACACGCAUAUAUACGGGUGCCCUCCUUGUGCUCCACCCUACCAUCAAAAACUACCACAGGCAAGUAGUCAAUUGACAGCUCAGUGACUGUAUCACCAGCUAAGACGUUGGUGUGGACACACACACACACACACACACGCACACACACACACCUAGUGAAUCGUCUGUUUCCGAGCAUGCUGAAACAGAUCAGGCUUUCAUGCUGAAGCAGGCAGUGUGUGUGUGUGUGUGUGUGUGUGUGUGUGUACCUUUGCUCCCCACUGGUGUUUACCUCCUCUCUCCCGCUGCUGCUCUCUGCCACGUCAAAUGACCGACCGGGUGCUUGGCUCGUUCCUCUGGGAGCGGCGCGGCCAAACAAGCCUGACUGUGGUCACUCUGCUCCGGGUCUGAGGCGGCGAAAAAGUAGCGGCCCGGGAAAAUCCUCGCGGCGCUUCGUCUCUGCGUGGUGUUUUGGCCCCCGUCUGGCUGUCUGCUGGAGCUCUGCUCGCCGGGUGGCAGAUAAACCGAUGAGUUCAGGUCCUUUUGACGCAGUCGGACUGACUCACCUGGCGGUUGGGGAGACACUGGCAGAGCGGCUGUUGGAACAGCUGGAAAGGGUUUUAUUCUUUUAUAGAUAUUUUUCCAUUCAGCUGACAAAUGAGUGGAUAUCUUUAUAGAGGAAGGUAAGGCUUUUUGGAUGCUAACAGCUGUUGUGAUGAGUCAGAGGGGUUGUUUUUGUCAGGGAGGUUUCACGGUGUGUUUUCUUCUGUGUGGGAGUGCGUUCAUGAAUGUCAUGUGAAUAGAAAAGCCUCAUCUGCAUUAAACACAGACGGAAAAAAAAGGGGAAAAGUCUUCUUUACCUUGCAAGGAAAAGGGGACCUUUGUGCCAGUGUUACAUAAUGAGCUCUGGAAUCCACAUGUGGUGUUCCUGGAGGAUGGGCACCCAUUGGCUGAACCAAUUUCUGUUGCUUUAAAGCCAAAAUGCCUGAAUUAUAUUGGUCCGCUCCUGUAUUUUUCAGAAACAGUCGGUUGUGUUAUCCAUGUUGUCAAAACAUUUAAAUCUGGAUUAUAUGAUAUAAAGUAUGUGUGCAGUUGCCUGCAGUGCAUCUUAUUACACACUGUCUCUCUGUACAAUACUCACUAUGCGUAUCAUUCAAUUGAAGCUGCGUUUACACUGAGUUAAUAAUUUAAAGUUAGAACUCCUAAACACUUCCAUCCGAUGGAUAGAUUUUCAGUUCAGUUAGGACAUUUUUUAUAUCUUGGGAAACUUGCAUGCGGCUGGUCAGCGAGGUAAACGAUGUAUAUCCACAAAUGUCAUCAGUAUUUCCUUUGGAUGCAAAGUUGCAGCCAUUUGAAACGUGGCUUCUUAGGUCUGAAUGUCAUUGCACAGUAUUAAAUAACAAGGACAGGAAAUGAUUGAAAAACCAAAUAUCACAAAAUUGAAUGAAUAUUAUUUUUAUCUGAAGUUCAACUUCUGAUAGUUUGCAUAAUUAACUUUUACUGUUUUUUAAUUAUUGGUCUCUACCUCUCCUAAUAUCAAUACUAAUUAGACGCAUAUGAGGGGUCCAGAACUCCCAGAGUGUCUGGUCCUUUGUCACACAGUUUUGGCUCCCUUAGUAUUUUUGAAGCUUCUUACACCUUACAUGGAAGUCAACAGUGUGUUGUGUUUUAUAAAAGUUUACAGGCAGCCGACUUGCGGAGGUCACAUGACGAGUAAUCUCGCGUAGAGCACACGGGUCGCUAUCAGCACGGUUAAAGAGCGCUCACUGUUGUCUACUCAGCCUCUAUUGUCACAAAUGUUCCUCCAGCUGUCACCACGUGUUGCAGAUAGCAGGGAGGUCUAGUGAUUAUUCACGAGAGGCUCCGAGGACCUGGGGAGAAAAUCCUGCCCACGUUCCUCUGAUCCUGAAGAAAUCCUCCUUCAACGCGUCAACGUUAAGAACGGCAUUAUUCACUUGACUCUUUUAGGAGUAUUGCACGCUCUCAGGAGGCCCGUGGGACUUGAUUUGUUACCAGAGUGGUGACCAGUACCAGGAUUUCUUGGAUUCCUCCACUCCAGACG